UACGGAGGGAGCUAGCGUUGUUCGGAAAUACUGGGCGUAAAGCGCACGUAGGCGGCGCAGCAAGUCAGGGGUGAAAUCCCGGGGCUCAACCCCGGAACUGCCCUUGAAACUGCAGUGCUAGAAUUCUGGAGAGGCGAGUGGAAUUCCGAGUGUAGAGGUGAAAUUCGUAGAUAUCCGGAAGAACACCAGUGGCGAAGGCGACUCGCUGGACAGACAUUGACGCUGAGGUGCGAAAGCGUGGGGAGCAAACAGG
Molecule: ribosomal RNA, 253 nt
Filed under: uncultured bacterium
Lineage: Bacteria
Description: partial 16S ribosomal RNA
Rfam family: Bacterial small subunit ribosomal RNA
Source: RNAcentral